This 1501-nucleotide ribosomal RNA is filed under the name Triticum aestivum (bread wheat). RNAcentral's name for it is "partial small subunit ribosomal RNA". The record is from RNAcentral. Lineage: Eukaryota; Viridiplantae; Streptophyta; Magnoliopsida; Poales; Poaceae.
AGAGGGAGAGAGAAGGGGACGCGGAGAGAUCCAGUGACUGAGUGUUGUUGUCGUACUGUCUAGUCUAGAGGUGAUAUUAGAAUUCCCAGCUGGAACUAACGGUGGUCACGAUGUUUUUCUAGGCGUUCUAAGAAACGUCGGAAGUUCUAGUUCUCUCCUAAUCCUGCUAGAGGAAGCUGUGGUUGUUAUUGCGUCAGUAGUAGCUGCCCGGCAAACUAGGUGUGUUCGAUAGUACGUCCUAGUCUACGUUUCCUCCGUUCCACUAGUUCCCGCAGGUUUAGUACCCGCUGCCGUUCGGCCUUCUCUACCGGCCCGGUGGCGGCUCGUUGUCAGCGUUUUUCUUUAGUUUUAGUUUCCCCUUCCCCUUCCCCAGUGGCGGCGGCGGGCGACUCGUCGGUGUUCUUAUAGUAGGAGUCGGCGGGUCGCUCGUCGGUGUCUGUAUGAUGGGAGUCGGCGGGUGACUCGUUGGUGGCCGUAUGGUGGUAGUCGGUGGGUGACUCGUCGGUGGCCUUAUGGUGGGAGUCGUCGGGUGGCUCGUCGUUGGACGCAUGGUGGGAGUCGGCGGGCGACUCGUCGGUGGCCUUAUGGUGGUGGGAGUCGUCGGGGGAGGCCUGUCUCUCUACAGUCGCUGGUACGUCCGCCAGUCCCUCCUCCUCUCCGGCGUUCUCUCUGGCCGGCUCGAACUCUUCGGUUUCCUCUACGUCCAGGUAAAGCACGGUCUUCGUCCCGGCCUCACGGUGUUCUUGGGAUCCCUCUCCUCCGUGGGCUACCCUCUCUACGGAAGCACCUUGCCCGGCGGCUACCACCUCUAGGGGAGCGACGGCCGCGCUGGACACCCGGGCACGGCGACGUGCACGACGCGCAGUACGAUGGUCCCCAUGAUGCCUUCAACGUCCACGAGUCUGACGCCGUCCUGCAUGCCGAUGUGGCGGCGGCACCGCGACGGCGGCGGUCGUCCAACGAUGCCACCGCGUGCGUGCGGCAUGACGCCGCCUAUGUCGCCGAUGGCCCAAUAGACGCUCCUCCUAGUUCGCCCACGAACGUGGUAUUACACUAGACAAGUGACAAAGCACACGGUGUUGGUAACACGACGAAUCCGUUUCAACGUACACAAAACGCACAGAACUAAUGACAUGGUUACUAAGCACAUACGUCGACGAUACGUUCUUAGUAAAAACAUCCCCCCCCCUCCCCGAAACGUACUUAGUAGCGGUUGAUAACUACGAGAGGGUAAGUGUAGUCUAGUACCGACUUUUCUGCUCUCUUAGCUACGGAAGGGAAAAAUAAUUUAUUUGAGCAAUAAGAACAAGUUAUUACAGAUGAAAAGAUGUACCACGGCAGUUUGUUGGAUCGUGAAACCGUCUAAGAACAAGCUAUCACAGAGGAAAAGUUGUAUCACCACACUUUGUUAACAAUCGUGAAACCGUUUAUUUACCACACACUCUUUAAACAUGCUAAUUUACGUUAUGUCGUUAUGCUGUGACUCUAAACAAUUAUUCCA